UUUUAAUAUGGCAGACUAGUGCUAUAGAUCUAAAAUCUAUCUAAAAAGAAUUUCUU
RNAcentral lists this transfer RNA (56 nucleotides) under Diacamma rugosum. RNAcentral describes it as "tRNA-Leu". The record is from RNAcentral. Lineage: Eukaryota; Metazoa; Arthropoda; Insecta; Hymenoptera; Formicidae.